GAUGAACGCUGGCGGCGUGCCUAAUACAUGCAAGUCGAGCGAACGGACGAGAAGCUUGCGUCUCUGAGGUUAGCGGCGGACGGGUGAGUAACACGUGGAUAACCUACCUAUAAGACUGGGAUAACUUCGGGAAACCGGAGAUAAUACCGGAUAAUAUGUUGAACCGCAUGGUUCAAAAGUGAAAGACGGCCUUGCUGUCACUUAUAGAUGGAUCCGCGCUGCAUUAGCUAGUUGGUAAGGUAACGGCUUACCAAGGCAACGAUGCAUAGCCGACCUGAGAGGGUGAUCGGCCACACUGGAACUGAGACACGGUCCAGACUCCUACGGGAGGCAGCAGUAGGGAAUCUUCCGCAAUGGGCGCAAGCCUGACGGAGCAACGCCGCGUGAGUGAUGAAGGUCUUCGGGUCGUAAAACUCUGUUAUUAGGGAAGAACAUAUGUGUAAGUAACUGUGCACAUCUUGACGGUACCUAAUCAGAAAGCAACGGCUAACUACGUG
This 497-nucleotide ribosomal RNA is filed under the name uncultured bacterium. RNAcentral's name for it is "partial 16S ribosomal RNA". It matches the Rfam family "Bacterial small subunit ribosomal RNA", at positions 28 to 507 of the family's 1533-position model. The record is from RNAcentral.